This is a long non-coding RNA of Dreissena polymorpha, 1760 nucleotides long. RefSeq lists it as uncharacterized. The transcript is spliced from 3 exons. NCBI's taxonomy places the organism in Eukaryota, Metazoa, Mollusca, Bivalvia, Myida, Dreissenidae. The record is from RefSeq and is a predicted model, not a curated record.
UUGAAGACAUUAGAUGCCUUACACAUGAAAAAACAUUUAUUUUGAAAUGAAUAUUUAAUGUUGAUUGAUACUUGUUUUAUUAUCGUGCUAAUUCUGUACUUUAUUUUAUUGCACGCAUUAGAGUUUAUUGUUUUAGACAAAUGUGGCAUAUGUGAUUACAAAAUGCAAUGAAGUGAGUGACCGUAAAAUGGCUACUUUAUCAAAUAAGCACGAAGGUGAUCUGUAAGUAGAAGUACAUCAGUAGAGGAUAACGGAAGCGAGCAUCAAGCAGAAACGUGUAACCGCAUAAGUGAUUAAAAUUGUUCGUUACCAACACAAGGCCUCGGAGAAAGGUGGAUAAAAAAUCUGAGGAAUGAGGUCUGUGCAUGAUUUAGGAAUUGUGUUAAAUCAUUCAACCACACAUUCAAUGAGGAAUGAGAUUGUCUUUGAUGUGUCAGAAGUCUUCACUAAAGCAAUACAAAUGAAGAAAGAUUUAGAACACCUUUAUGACCAAAUAAUUGAAUUUGAAAGAAGAUUAGAUUGGGAAUAUUAUGAAUUGUUUUCAAACUGUAUGGUGGUUCUUUGGCAACAAAACUGAAAGAUCACAGAAAUGCUGUUUUAAAGGAUUUCACCAUUGUCGUAGCAGGUGACACAACAUCCCUUGUGCGCAGUUUUAUGAACGUAUUAGCUGGCACGGAAGUUAUUUCGUACUUUCUCGUCACUGAACCAUCAAUCCUCUGUUCCGUCCACGCCAUACAAGAUGGAAAGGAACAGUACAUCAAGCUUCAGAUGGAGAAAAACACUAAGGAUACAUUACCAUGCGGCAAAAAUAUUUCUGUACAAGAAACAAGGGAAACAAUUCAGACAAUAUUAAAAAUGAUAACAUGUCAUCGUGUAAACUUUUACUGGCAUCUUUAACAUUUUAAAACUGCGGUAAAUGCAAAACAUCUGUAUUUAUACAUUAAGGUUAUUAAGUUAUUCAUUGAAUUAAAUUAGUUGAUAAAUAUAUCAUCAUCAAGUUGAUGACAUGUCAUUAUUUAGACCGUUGUUGGUUGUGUUAUGGUAUAUUAAACCUUUUGCAGGAACACGUGAACAUAAUAUGUUACCCUAUCAAUGAUCCCAAACAAAUGGCUAGCUUCGUAUCCGAAGUAUCAGUUCUCAUAUAUGUUUUACACAGGACUACUACUUGUUCAAACGGAGAUAAGGUGGGAUUAUUUCGAAGCACUUACCAUUAGCCGAAUUGUAGAAGCAACGUUCCUAAGUAUGACUCCUGUGAAAUUUUAACACAUUCCCUGAUGUAUUAAGAUGUUUGAUUUUCGAUGUUUACGACCGUGUCAAACAUUAGUAACUCUAGACGUGCAUUUGAGCAAAUGUCAUAAAUAAUACAUGGAAUUAUUAUUAAUGUAUCAAUUAAAUAUAUAUGAUAUGCAUACAUGUAAUUCAGUUAAAGCAGUAAAUGCAGACGUGUAAACAUAUACACGAGAACAAAUAACCAUUCAGCUUCAAUAGUUUCGAUCCAAAGAGAAGUAUUCCUUAUAUGACUGUAGUGAAACCUUCUCAACACUCUUCAAGUAUCAACUUUUGCCCAAGUUCUAUGAAACUUUGUCUGAAUAUUUGCAAGAGUUGGAUCGCGGUUGAUAUUGAAAAUGGCUGCGGUUGGUUGAAAAUCAUUGCCUCAAAUAGGCGGAGUGUUGUUCGUACAUGGCUAUAGAGAAAAUUGUUAACACUCUGUUAGUCAUAUGUUUGGUUUUAAUAAUCAUGAAAAUGUUAUCAGGUCAAUU